UGUUUUUUGUUGUGCCUUAAUAAACAAGUUUUUUCCACUUCCCCUCUGAAGGAAUUCCUCCCGAACCCGGUGGUGGGGGGGAGGUUGCGGAGGGUUUGGUUUCCUAUAGGGGGCUCCUUUGGAGGUGUUUUCCCCUAAUUUGUCCAAAACCAGGACAAAUAAUUUGGUGGCCCGUACGGGGAGGCCCAGACAAAGUGGAAAAAACUUUAUUCUAAUAAUAUUUUUGGCUUUAACCGUUCUGCGGGAAUAUUGGUAUGUCUUUUUUUAAAGUUAUGAUGUCAUUGGGAGUGAAAGCCUGCCUCUAUUUGUGGUCAUUAGGGUUCUUCGAAGUUUUGAUCGCUUUAUGGUCCCUGGAGUUAUUUUCUUAUCCAGAAGUAGCUCCGACAUCGGACCUACUCCGGGCAGGAGCUCCCCCGGGGUCUGCGAAAGAAGCUGCGUACCCUCUGCGGCGAAGAGAGAUACAGCUCAACCCUCUUGGACUGGUGAAAACAUCUGUGGUCAUCUUGGGCUA
Molecule: long non-coding RNA, 511 nt
Organism: Vidua chalybeata
Lineage: Eukaryota; Metazoa; Chordata; Aves; Passeriformes; Viduidae
Exons: 2
Source: RefSeq, a predicted model, not a curated record